UUCAGGGCACACGGGCAAUGAGAGCCACGGUAAGGAAAACACCUGUGCUUUCCCAGACCUCCUUGCGCCUCUGCUAGGUUAAGCUCUGGACAGCCAGACGGUUCAUGAAGACUUCUAGCGCGUCUCCACUCUGGCUGGACACCCGGAUCAUCUGAGGAACUGUACAAAAUCUCUAUCAGCUUCUCCCGGCAUGGAGCCCAAAUCUCUGUGUGCUUAUUUUCGAAAAUGGUAAGGCACAGUGGAAGCAUAGCAACAGGUUCAUCACCGCCACCAACCUAAACCCUUCAAAAGUGGGACUUUUCUCUGCCUGGUCCCAGCAGAGGAAGGCAGGCAGCCAUGCACAGGUGUCCUGGAAGAGAGGAAACCUAGCUGUGAACUGCCUGUGGAAACUGAACUGUGAGCACCUGUGUGCAGCUUCUGUUCACUGAGAGUCAUUCACAGCCAAGAGCAGGAGGAAAAUGGAGACCACAAAGACAUGAAUUCUUCCAGCAAUCAGUGGGCUUGGACAGGAGCCCAAGCAGGCCCAGUCAAUGAUCAGCUCUCUGCCCCAGGCCCCGGCUGCAGGAAACACAAGGUCAUAAAUGCAUGGUGUUUGGAGCCAUUAAGUUUGUGGUAAACCCAGCCUCCGUGCCAGCAAGUUUGUCCUCUGAUGCAAAUGAAGAUGCACUUUGGUCCCAACCCUGACACUGCCCUGCUCCCUUCCUCCCACGACGCACACCCACCGCAACAUUUCCAGCUCCCACGUCUGUCUUGAGGGUCCCCCGUCUGGGAACCAGAUUUCAGACCACAUUAAUUAACAACCUCACAGCCAGCUUUUCCUCGCUCUAGGAAACAGAACAGUCUGUGCAGCUGUUGGGCAAAGGGAUAAACAAGUCAGGAGAACAACGCCAGGAGACAGGGCAUGGCUUCGGACUGCAAGUGAAAUUUUUCAGAGGCCCACUUAGUUUCACAUGUGAUCACGGAAGCCGUCGGGAAGGUCCAGCGCGAGAUAGGACAGGAAGGCUUGGUGGGAGCUCCAGCCCUCAUUGCAAGUUUUCAAUCCGGGCAUGCCAGGAAACAUCAUCCACUGCUUCUGUCAGUGGGAUGACCGGGAAGGCCAGCUGUAGGUGAUCCAGGCUGGUGGGACUGGCGACUCAGCUCGUGCCUGCUGCGGGCGGACCACUGCGCACUCCUAGAGCAAAGACAGAAGAGCAAGGGGCAGCAACCCAAAGCACAAAGCCCACUUCGGUCGGUCCCUCCUUGGAUCCUACUAAUUUGUCACAUGCAGUAAGGGGAAGCACCAGGUGAUAAGGUUGAGAACACUCAGGCGAGGAGAUGAAGACCAGUCAUUUGAUGGGGACCACACUCUUGCCGUGUGGUAAAGGGGAUCUGAUUAUUGAACAAGAAAGAAGAAAACAAGCCUGUUUAUCAAACAGAGCCCAGUUUCUCCCAUCCCAGAAGAGCAUUUGGCCACAUUCCUUACAAGAAUUCUCAAAGCAGGUGGCAAGCAAAGAAGAGAAACCCUCAGUGUAAACCUCAAAAGGGUCAUUUGCUAAUUCAGUAUCUUUCUAGGCUGGUGACUAUUAAUGGAUUCUUGACAAUGCACAUUGUUUCUCCAAUCUUUUCGGGUUGGCUGAGUACUGAAAACCUUCCCAGAAAACAGAAUGGCCGAGCAGGGAAGAGGAGGGAUGGACCAUUCGUAAUUAUCAGCGGCCCUCUUGUCCCGAAUGAACUCAAGUCCUCAGGACUCCUCCUCACCAGCCUGGUGUGACUGAGAAAAAGCCAGUCACAUAGCAGCGACUAGAAAAUAGUACAAUCAAUGGAGGAAGUGCACAUUUGAUACUCGCAUUAAAAAAUGUGCCAUCAGUCAAGGUAUAAGACUGGUUGGGUGAGCAUCUCUUCAUUUUGGCUGGUUUUGUUUGCUCCAGUUGCUAACUGCACAGAGAGAAACCAGGUUUAAGCAGCUCUCCAGGUACAAGGCAUUUCUCCGGGAUUAGGGCUGCGUAAGGUCUCAAAAUAGGUUUAUGA
This is a long non-coding RNA of Fukomys damarensis (Damara mole-rat), 2007 nucleotides long. RefSeq lists it as uncharacterized. The transcript is spliced from 5 exons. The record is from RefSeq and is a predicted model, not a curated record. NCBI's taxonomy places the organism in Eukaryota, Metazoa, Chordata, Mammalia, Rodentia, Bathyergidae.